UACGUGUCACAGGUUCCUUGCUGAG
This 25-nucleotide microRNA is filed under the name Equus caballus (horse). RNAcentral describes it as "eca-miR-8991". Lineage: Eukaryota; Metazoa; Chordata; Mammalia; Perissodactyla; Equidae. The record is from miRBase by way of RNAcentral.